CCCAAUCCUACAUCCCGUAUGCAUCAAGAUAUCAAUUCUUAUUCUCUUUAUUUUCAAUAAACCCGUGGGCCGAUGUCAAAUCUAGUUACUGCUAUCACAAACACAAAAUUAAUAAAAACAAAUAGAGUCAAUUACGUAUUUAAAACAUACAAUAAAAAUAGUAAACUAAAGGAAAUAAGAGGAACAUACAAGAUAAACUAGAACAACAAUCUAUACUUUUCAGUUAAGCCACAAAUAAACAUGUAACAUAGUAAAAUUAAAAAGGAUACGAGUAAGAAUAAACCUCAGUUAAACAAUUGAUGUAAACCAAUACAGUGAUAAACCCAGUCAGUUGACCCCAAAUCCAGAAAACCAGAGGCUGUAGAGACCCAAACCAGAAAAACCAAGCUUUAGACCGGAAUACUCGAACGAACCAAAAUCUCCACCGGAAAAACUCAAAUGAUUAUGCUGGUACAAGAUCGGUUCAACAAUGGCAACGAAAAAAACCCGCUGGAUUUUUUCUAAAAGAAGACAGAAGAUGAAGGAGAUGGAGACCAGAUCUCAAGGUUUCAAAAGAGGCGUCGGAUCUGAAGGUUUUGCCACUGUUAAUCCCCAUUUCAGGUGAGACUUACCAUUUCCGAUGUGAUUCCAUUAUCCUAUCUACAAAUCUAUGAGAACAAGUUAAGGAAGGAAGUGUUAGGAAGAGAGGUCAUGGGUGGACGACCAGAGGGAAAGGGUGGGGGGUUCUGCCGGCAUUCAUGGCUGGUUUGGUUGAAGUGUGGUGCGGCUAUGUUUGUGUUCAAGAGAGCAGGGGUCGUUGGUAAUUUUUUUUGUUCUAAGUUUAGAGAGCCAAAUCAAUGGGAACGGUUGUCCUCUCUUUUUGCAUUAGUGUUCAAGCUGCUGCUUCUCUAAGCUGAAGAUAGGAUCGACGGCUACUGGUGAAGUGGUCUUGUGAAAAUAAAGCCGAGACAGUCUGAUGGGGGGUCCUUUUUGGUGUUUUGCCGCUGUUAUUUUUUUGUUCUCUAGGUUUCUUUAAGAAGAAGAAGGCUUAGGAUCUUUAGGGUGUUGGGUUUGAUGGUUUAAGGAACAGGGUUAUUCGAAGUGGGCUCUAGAAUUGGGCUGGAUGAGUACUUAAAUUCAAGAGAGACAAAUCAAUAAGCCCAAGCUUAAUUCUUUCUAUUUUCUAAGAAGUAAAAACCUAUAAACUUACUAGUUAGCCUUAGCUUAUGUGCCAAAAUGGGGAUAAAAUUAGCAAUUCUUUUUGUAUUUUCAAAGAUUAUACUAAAAAUAAGAAUAUAAAAAUCGUGGCAAACUUAAGAUAAUACUACUAUAAAAAUACUAAUGUUCUUGAAAAAGAUAUGUAAUGAAGUAAAAAAACAAAGUGCAGCUAUUUUUUUUUGUGUGUUCAAAUUUAAUUUUAUGAAAAGUAGAUAAACUAAAAGUAACAAGAUAAAAUAUUAAUUACCUAAAUAAAAGAAAAUAUUUUUGUAGUUUUUAUUUUUGUGAUAAAAUGAAGUAAAAGAGUCUAAACUAAUUAAAAUGAUGAUAUUAGGCCUAAAAUAAAUAUUUAAAUGCUAAAAUAUGUAAAAUCUUUGGGAGGGUCAAAAAUCACAUGUCUACAAAGAUCAGCCUCAUUGAAGAAGAAAUUAUGAAAAUUUGGCUUGCAAGUAAGGUCUCGGAGUUGAAUGAGAUGGUAGAAGACUGAGAUCAUGGAUAGGUGAUCACUGAAUAUAUUACCUGGUGUUACGACCCUUCAUCAUUUAGACAUAGGCUUGAGGGCUCGAACAAGAGGGGAAAUGAUCAAAGAACUAUAGAAAUGCUAAAGGAGGAAUUGGAGCAUGCUCAUAUGACCAUAGCAAAACAACAAGCCCAGCAGCAAGCCGGAGUCACUCGGAUUCGUUUAAAUAUUGAUAAAGAUUAUCAAUCUACCUUAUGGGUCAUGGAUAAAGAUCUAAAGCAGGCUAAAAAUGAGGCAACCCUCUAUAACGACCCGGUCGGUCGUUUCAUGAGUUACCGCUCCGUUUCCUUCCAUUUCUACUUCUUUAUAUGUUGUUCAGUUAUAUUUAAUCGCAUCGUGAUGGUUAGUUUGGGUUCGGAGUGGUUUUGUAGAGAAAUGAGACACUUAGUCUCUUUUGAGUACGCUUAAGUUGGAAAAGUCAACAAGGUGUUGACUUAUGUGAAAAAGGUCUCAGAUGUGAAUUCUGAUGGUUCGGAUAGCUUUGUUAGGUGAUUUGAGACUUAGGAGCAUGAUUGAAAUGUAUUUUAGAGGUCCGGAGUAGAUUUAGGCUUGAAUUGGCGAAAUUGAAAUUUUGGCGUUUUCUGGUUGGUAGUGGAGAUUUUGAUAUCGGGGUCGGAAUGGAAUUCCAGAAGUUAGAGUAGGUCCGUUGUGUCAUUUAGGACGUAUGUGUAAUUUCAGGUCAUUCGGGCGAGGUUUGAUAAAGUUUUUGAUCGAAAGCAAGAAUUUGGAAGUUUUGGAAUUUCUUAGGCUUGAAUCCGAUGAUGAUUUGAUAUUUUUAUGUUGUUUUGGGCGUUCCGAAGCUUGGAACGAGUUUGAAUGAUGUUAUGACAUGUGUUGGCAUGUUUAGUUGAGGUCUGGAGGGCCUCGGGUGAGUUUCGGGUGGUUAAACUGAUCAAAUUCUUGUUUUGGAAAUUGCAGAUUUCUUCAGUUCUGUGUUGCAGGGAUUUGGCCUUCGUGUUUGUGAGAGGGAUCUCGCAUUCGCUAAGAGAUGUGAAGUGAGUCAGGAGAAUUUCCCUUCGCAUUCGCGAUGUUGUUUCCGCAUUCGCGAAGGGUGAGGCUGAGUGUGCAUCGCGAACGCAAUGUAGGUCCCGCGUUCGCAUAGAGUAAUUGGAGUAGCUGGGGGCCUGGUAGUUUGUUCUUCGCGAACGUGGUCAAAUCCUCGCGUUCGCGAAGGCCUAGGAAGAUGAAGCUUCGCGUUCACGAGAUAGAAGUCGCAUUCGCGUAAGAGGAUUAAUUGGUCAAUGGAAUUUUGUGCUUCGCGAAUGCGAGGAUUGGACCGCGUUCGCGAAGAAGGAAUAUUUGCCUGGGCAGAAUGUUUAAAAAGUGGCCUUCGCGAUUUUUGGUCUAUUUCCACCAUUAUUGAGCGAUUUUCGAACUUUUUGAGAAGGAUUGAAGAGGGAAUCGAAGGGAAACACUUGUAGGUAAGCUUUUUGAACUCAAUACUCGAUACUAUGAUGAUUUCUACCUCAUUAGACAUGAAAUUUAUGGAAUUUAAAGCCUAAAAUUGGGAAUUAGGGCUUGAAAUAGAGACCUUGAUUUAGGGAUUUGAGAGGUCGUUUGUGGUUAGAUUUUCAUGUGUUUGAUAUGUAUGAACUCCUGAGGGUGUAAGGAUUCUAGUUUAAUGAUUUUUAUCGGUAUCCGAGACGUGGGCCCGGAGGUCGGGUUUGGCCAAUUUCAGGAUUCUUGGUGUAAAUUGGUUAUUUUCGAGUGGGCUUUGUUCCCUUACAAUAUUUUGAUGGUAUGAAUCUGUUUUUGGUUUGAUUUGGAGCAUCCGGAAGCUGAGUCGAGAGGCAAAGGCAUCGCGAGCUAGAGUUUGGACCGGAUUGAGAUAGCUAAUGAUUGUAAAUGUUGUCUUGAGGGUAUGACACCCCAAAUUUCACAUCAUUAUGCUACUUUGAGAUGACGCACACGUUAUAUGUCGAGUGUGGGGUCUUGCACCGUUGGGGAUUGUGACUUGGUCUGUCCCGUACAACUAUUAAGUCGCGUAUUUGAUUGAAAAUUGUUUGAUAUCAUUGUGUUUUAGAAAGUAUUACUAUGUUUUUGACUAAAUGUCAUAUUUGAGCCUCGUGCUGACUGUUUUGGACCCUUAGGGGAUUUUUACAACUAUUCCUCACUGUUUUAACUUCAUAUUUUUAAUCAGUCAUGUUAUAUUCUACUAAUGUCAUAACUCAGCCGUAUUUACUUCUAAAUGAUAUUUCAGGUUGAGCAUCAUGUUUUACUGUUGCCCGAGGGGUUUGAGAGAUUUCUGACUGAGUGAGGCUGAGGGCCUGUGUUGUGAGGAUUAUUAUGGGAUCGGGCUGCAUGCCAUAACAUGUGUACUGAUUUGUGAUAUAUGAGAGGCCGAGGGCCUGAUUUGGUAUGCUAGGAGAUGGCUUGUGAUAGUGCUUGGGCUGUAGGAGCCCCUCCGGAGUCCGAACACCCCAGUGAGUGCGGGUACCCAGUGUGAGAUGUGAUAUUGCCCGAGGGGCUGUUGUUGUGUCAUGUUAUAGCUCGAGGGGCUGAUUCUGUUGAUAUUUUACCCGAGGGGCAGUUGUGGUACAUGUUUUGCUUAAGGGGAUGUUUACGUUUCUAUCCUUUUACUCACUAUUUUCACCACUCGUUUGAAACUAUUGAAAGAUGUUUUAAAAGGUUUUACUGAACUUAGUUGUUUUAACGAGUUUUAUUGCUUUACUACAUUGUUCUGGAC
RNAcentral lists this long non-coding RNA (4403 nucleotides) under Nicotiana tabacum (common tobacco). Its description in RNAcentral is "long non-coding RNA (NTAB_LNC001855)". Lineage: Eukaryota; Viridiplantae; Streptophyta; Magnoliopsida; Solanales; Solanaceae. The record is from RNAcentral.